GCGAGACAGUUCGGUCCCUAUCUGUGGUGGGCGCAGGAUAUUUGAGAGGAUCUAUCCUUAGUACGAGAGGACCGGGAUGGACGAACCUCUAGUGCACCAGUUGUCGUGCCAACGGCAUAGCUGGAUAGCUAAGUUCGGAUGGGAUAAACGCUGAAAGCAUAUAAGCGUGAAACCCACCUCAAGAUAAGAUAUCCCUUCCCCUUCGGGGGACUAAAGACCCGUGGAAGACUACCACGUGAUAGGCUGGGUGUGGAAGCGCAGUAAUGCGUGAAGCUUACCAGUACUAAUCGGUCGUGAGGCUUGACCAU
This 308-nucleotide ribosomal RNA is filed under the name Terriglobia bacterium. RNAcentral's name for it is "partial 23S ribosomal RNA". It matches the Rfam family "Bacterial large subunit ribosomal RNA", at positions 2621 to 2925 of the family's 2925-position model. Lineage: Bacteria; Pseudomonadati; Acidobacteriota; Terriglobia. The record is from RNAcentral.